UUCUACUUGGUCCUGCUGAUGACUGUAGCAUACUUUUCAUGACUAUUGGCUUGUGAUGAACAAUAAGAUGGAUAAGAAAACGAUAUUGAGAACCGGAUUGAAAAAAUUCAAAAAUACCUGGAGUAAAAAGAAGAAUUUGAAGAGAAUUGUUGAAAUCAGGAAUUUUAUGAGGGCGCUUAUAGAAGAACGAAAACUAAAAACUCUUUGUUUAGAUAUGAAGAAUCCAUGAUUUUUCCUGACAUAAAAGAAGAUAGAAAAGGUACUAUUAGCAAAAAUGACAUAAUUGUAAGAAUAAAUUCUGGAAUAUGUGAUACCGUUACAGAAAAAUAUGUUGAAUAUAAAAAACCAAAAGAAAACUUGGAGCUCAAACUGUUCAAAAUAAAUGAUUUCGAAAAAAAAGACACACCAAUUUCGGGAAUAAAACCUUAUUCAGGAUUCGUUACACAAACCAGGGCAAUAUAUUCUAAAUGACAUGUAAGGACAUGUUAGAUGACAUGUAAGAAAUAUUAGAAUUGGAAUAAUUCUACAAUCUGCUACAAUUCCAUAAUACGUUCUAUGAAUUUUACAUUUUUUUUCUCCGGCGGUUUUUAUAAAUACAGCUUCAGUGCUUUCUUCUGCAGAUAUUUAUUCUGUGUAUCUGUAACUUAUAACUUUUAAUUUAAUUAUUGAUAUUUCAUUGUUUUAUAUCAUUGAAAACGUUUGAAACAAUAAAUAGUAUCAGCUUGGUCAUCA
Molecule: long non-coding RNA, 732 nt
Organism: Coccinella septempunctata (seven-spotted ladybird)
Lineage: Eukaryota; Metazoa; Arthropoda; Insecta; Coleoptera; Coccinellidae
Exons: 2
Source: RefSeq, a predicted model, not a curated record